GUUUAUAUAAUAUUCUGAAAAACGCAAAUGAAUGUACAGAAAGGAAACUGCAGACAAGGGUGAGGGAUGUAAGGAACGGCAGGGUAAAAGAUUGCAGUGGGACACUCGUCAAUGGAACAUAGGUAAGACUUUUGAGGGUCACAUACGUUCAUUCACUUGGUUGUGUUGAUGGUUUCAUGGAUCAAUAUACAAGUUAAAACUCAUCGAAUUGUACAAGUAUCCAAGUUAUUUUAUGUGAACUAUAUCAACUAUAUCUUAUGAAGUUUUAAAGAAUAUAUGUUUCUUAAUUCAAAAAGCAUAUUUUUGUGAGUAAAAAUAUCUAGACAAUCAAUCAUAGAUCUGGAAGAGAUUAAAGACUCUCAUGUUUGGACUUUGUCCUCAGAUUGAUUUGUAUCAAGGCUUUCUGAGAGGGGUCUCCUACUCCUCCUCUUUCUCCCUUUUUCUCCUUUUCUUCCUCCUCCUUCUGCCCUUCUUCUCUUCCUAUUUCUCCUAUCUUUCUCUUUUCCUCUUCUUCUCUCCUUUCCCAUCUUCUCUUUCUUAAUCUAAAACAUUUCCAACUUAACCUCUUAUAUAUCCUUAGUGACAUUUCCUUCCCUCCUCUUUCCUUCUUUUUCUCUUUCACUUUUUUUCUCAGCAUCAGCUUUGCCUGGGGACAUGCUUGUAUUUCUUGGAUUUCUGUAGCCACAUGAACUGUGUUGCAUAUGGUGUUAUUGCAUGUCAGAUCUGAAUCAAAAUACUAAAAAUACUCACUGUUGGAUUUCAGCUUAUUUAUCACAUCUUCAAAGAGCUCUUUUCUCACCUAACACAUAUGGUUUCCCAGUUCUCUGUUCCACUAAACCCUUUACUCCAUCUACUGUAAUACUUUUUAUUCUUUAUUAUAAUUAUUUGUUAAAUAUCCAUUUCUCCUUUUGAUCUGUAAGAUCAUUGAGGGAAUAAAUUAUGUUACUCUAUUUCCUGCCUGCUGUAAAAUAGCCACUAGCAUUUUAUUUGACUGAACUGAAAGAACACCUGUUAGAUUAGAACCCUCUUAUCUAGACAUCAUCUAAUGUAAAAUAUAAACAGAAACCCAGAGAAAAAUCUUCCUAUUUCAAUAUUCACCUACUAUGGGGUAAUCAUAUAGCAAAACCAUGUGU
This 1133-nucleotide long non-coding RNA is filed under the name Capra hircus (goat). RNAcentral's name for it is "lncRNA (ENSCHIG00010022753.1)". The record is from RNAcentral. Lineage: Eukaryota; Metazoa; Chordata; Mammalia; Artiodactyla; Bovidae.